This 266-nucleotide ribosomal RNA is filed under the name Shewanella sp. BacPol9. RNAcentral describes it as "partial 16S ribosomal RNA". It matches the Rfam family "Bacterial small subunit ribosomal RNA", at positions 521 to 786 of the family's 1533-position model. The record is from RNAcentral. Lineage: Bacteria; Pseudomonadati; Pseudomonadota; Gammaproteobacteria; Alteromonadales; Shewanellaceae.
UAAUACGGAGGGUCCAAGCGUUAAUCGGAAUUACUGGGCGUAAAGCGUGCGCAGGCGGUUUGUUAAGCGAGAUGUGAAAGCCCCGGGCUCAACCUGGGAAUUGCAUUUCGAACUGGCAAACUAGAGUCUUGUAGAGGGGGGUAGAAUUCCAGGUGUAGCGGUGAAAUGCGUAGAGAUCUGGAGGAAUACCGGUGGCGAAGGCGGCCCCCUGGACAAAGACUGACGCUCAGGCACGAAAGCGUGGGGAGCAAACAGGAUUAGAUACC